Xenia sp. Carnegie-2017 is the source of this 905-nucleotide long non-coding RNA. RefSeq lists it as uncharacterized. The transcript is spliced from 3 exons. The record is from RefSeq and is a predicted model, not a curated record. Lineage: Eukaryota; Metazoa; Cnidaria; Anthozoa; Malacalcyonacea; Xeniidae.
CACACUCAAAGAUUUCAUCAGAAUUAAUGAAGUAUGCAGAAUUUAUCGACCCACAUUUAACGCAUUAUAAUAGAAAUCUUUAAUAAGUCUCUAAUAUUAUCGAUGUUAAUUCUGCCAGAGCUUCACCAUCAAGAACUGUUAUUAAACAAUCAAGUUGUGCACAGUUGAUAUUGUAGAGUUGAAGUAACGUUAAGUGACGGACACGAGUAGCCGGCGAGAUUUUGACUUUUCACCAACUGAAAGCGGAGGUGGUUGAGGAAGAAAGAAUUCACAAAGAAACUGCGCAGACAAUACGAGAUGGAGAUACGUUACUCUAUUGCACAGUGUGGUAGUCUGUGUCGUUGGAUCUUUCUGAUUGUUGAUAUCAUGUUUGAAGAGUGAAUUGGAGAAAAGUAGAACUAGGUGCAAAAUGACAAGAAAAGAAAAUCGUGCAAUUAUUAAUUAUAGUUUCAGACAAUCCAAUAUCUUAUCUUAAGGCAGUAACACUGCACAAAAGUGACAUAUUUUGUGUUAUUGAUUUGUACUUAUCAAUUUAAUACUGUAUAAACCAAACCAGAAUUAUUUGUUCCGCGAGUUUAUCUGUUAUUGUAUUAGUUACUGAAAGAUACCGUUAUAACUGCAGGGAAUAUAGUUGUGGGUUAAUUUAAUUAAACCCCUGGCAAGUUUCUCUUUACUAUAUUGUUUGUUUGUAGAUAUUGUUUAUUAACUAAUAAUACUCCUCAUUUUCAACAGCGAAAUCAUCCCCAAGAAUAAUCUACGUCGUUAAUGGAAAACACAAAACCUCCUUAAUUAGACGCAAAGUUUACGCACUGCCGUCACGAAAGACUGGCAUUCCAGCGAUAAUAGAGUUCGGAUCAUCUUGUGCUGCAGAGUUGAUUGUGUCAUUUGCACCAAUGACCAUUACC